This 451-nucleotide ribosomal RNA is filed under the name uncultured bacterium. RNAcentral describes it as "partial 16S ribosomal RNA". It matches the Rfam family "Bacterial small subunit ribosomal RNA", at positions 354 to 796 of the family's 1533-position model. The record is from RNAcentral.
GUGGGGAAUAUUGGACAAUGGGGGGAACCCUGAUCCAGCCAUGCCGCGUGUGUGAAGAAGGCCUUUUGGUUGUAAAGCACUUUAAGCGAGGAGGAGGCUACCGAGAUUAAUACUCUUGGAUAGUGGACGUUACUCGCAGAAUAAGCACCGGCUAACUCUGUGCCAGCAGCCGCGGUAAUACAGAGGGUGCAAGCGUUAAUCGGAUUUACUGGGCGUAAAGCGCGCGUAGGGGGCCAAUUAAGUCAAAUGUGAAAUCCCCGAGCUUAACUUUGGAAUUGCAUUCGAUACUGGUUGGCUAGAGUAUGGGAGAGGAUGGUAGAAUUCCAGGUGUAGCGGUGAAAUGCGUAGAGAUCUGGAGGAAUACCGAUGGCGAAGGCAGCCAUCUGGCCUAAUACUGACACUGAGGUGCGAAAGCAUGGGGAGCAAACAGGAUUAGAUACCCUGGUAGUCC